CCGCAUGGUUCAAAAGUGAAAGACGGUCUUGCUGUCACUUAUAGAUGGAUCCGCGCUGCAUUAGCUAGUUGGUAAGGUAACGGCUUACCAAGGCAACGAUGCAUAGCCGACCUGAGAGGGUGAUCGGCCACACUGGAACUGAGACACGGUCCAGACUCCUACGGGAGGCAGCAGUAGGGAAUCUUCCGCAAUGGGCGAAAGCCUGACGGAGCAACGCCGCGUGAGUGAUGAAGGUCUUCGGAUCGUAAAACUCUGUUAUUAGGGAAGAACAUAUGUGUAAGUAACUGUGCACAUCUUGACGGUACCUAAUCAGAAAGCCACGGCUAACUACGUGCCAGCAGCCGCGGUAAUACGUAGGUGGCAAGCGUUAUCCGGAAUUAUUGGGCGUAAAGCGCGCGUAGGCGGUUUUUUAAGUCUGAUGUGAAAGCCCACGGCUCAACCGUGGAGGGUCAUUGGAAACUGGAAAACUUGAGU
RNAcentral lists this ribosomal RNA (474 nucleotides) under Staphylococcus aureus. RNAcentral describes it as "bacterial SSU rRNA". It matches the Rfam family "Bacterial small subunit ribosomal RNA", at positions 186 to 647 of the family's 1533-position model. The record is from RNAcentral. Lineage: Bacteria; Bacillati; Bacillota; Bacilli; Caryophanales; Staphylococcaceae.